This 355-nucleotide transfer RNA is filed under the name uncultured Microcystis sp. RNAcentral's name for it is "partial 16S-23S ribosomal RNA intergenic spacer". The stretch from base 133 to 206 matches the Rfam family "tRNA". The record is from RNAcentral. Lineage: Bacteria; Bacillati; Cyanobacteriota; Cyanophyceae; Chroococcales; Microcystaceae.
AAGGGAGACCUAAUUCGGGUAUAAGACGAAAAAAGAGUAGUCGAAACCAAGAAUCAAUCCCAAAAGGUCGGAACGAGGUAUGUGGCUUUCAAACUAGGUUCUGGGUUCACACAAGACCUGAAUCAGGAACAAGGGCUAUUAGCUCAGGUGGUUAGAGCGCACCCCUGAUAAGGGUGAGGUCCCUGGUUCGAGUCCAGGAUGGCCCACCUGCACAGGUGGCAAAAACAAAGAAGCGAGGAAUCAGCACCUUAUCUUAUCUAUAUAUAAGAGAGAAUGCUGGCUCUGAGUAAAGAGUCCAGAGGAACCUUGAAAACUGCAUAGAGCUAGGUGAAAAAGCCAAAGAAGAAGACCGCAA